This 663-nucleotide ribosomal RNA is filed under the name uncultured eukaryote. RNAcentral's name for it is "eukaryotic LSU rRNA". The stretch from base 271 to 424 matches the Rfam family "5.8S ribosomal RNA". The record is from RNAcentral.
GCAAGUGAACGGGGGGAUCGAUUCUUGGUCAUUUAGAAGGAAGUAAAAGUCGUAACAAGGUUUCCGUAGGUCACCUGCAGAAGGAUCAUUACCGUUUGUCUUUUGACAACACCACUGUGAACUGUACCAAGCAGGUGGGGUAAAAAGUAUGCAUACUUUUUUUAAAUGGUUUCGACCAGCCCCACUUGUGCAACCAUUUGUGUAUUUUUACGCACUUGUUUUAUCAUGUAUGUUAUUAACUAUGUUAGUAACGUGAAAUAGAAACGUGACAACUUCUAACGGUGGAUCUCUUGGCUCGUGCAUCGAUGAAGAACGUAGCCAGUUGCGAUAAGUAGUGUGAAUUGCAGAAUUCAGUGAAUCAUCGAAUCUUUGAACGCAAAUUGCGCUUUCUGGAUAUCCAGGGAGCAUGCCUGUCUGAGCGUCGUUUAAUAAUCUACACACCUUGGUGUGGUUAGGGAGCUCAUGCAAUCUCGGUUGCCUGUCUCUUGAUGUAUCUGAACCUGCAGAACACUUGUGUACUGCUUGGAAGGCUCAACUUGCUUCUGUCCUUCUAAAGUAAGUACUGAUAGAAUGUUUUAAAGGUUCUUUGAAUUCUUUGAAUUCACCUCUUGAUUUUUGACCUCAGAUCAGACAAGACUACCCGCUGAAUUUAAGCAUAUCAAU